RNAcentral lists this ribosomal RNA (231 nucleotides) under uncultured bacterium. Its description in RNAcentral is "partial 16S ribosomal RNA". It matches the Rfam family "Bacterial small subunit ribosomal RNA", at positions 99 to 334 of the family's 1533-position model. The record is from RNAcentral.
CGGACGGGUGGGUAAUGCCUGGGAAACUGCCUGAUGAGGGGGAUAACUGCUGGAAACGGUAGCUAAUACCGCAUAACGUCGCAAGACCAAAGAGGGGGACCUUCGGGCCUCUUGCCAUCGGAUGUGCCCAGAUGGGAUUAGCUAGUAGGUGGGGUAACGGCUCACCUAGGCGACGAUCCCUAGCUGGUCUGAGAGGAUGACCAGCCACACUGGAACUGAGACACGGUCCAG